This 72-nucleotide transfer RNA is filed under the name Phrynosoma platyrhinos (Desert horned lizard). RNAcentral's name for it is "tRNA-OTHER". Lineage: Eukaryota; Metazoa; Chordata; Lepidosauria; Squamata; Phrynosomatidae. The record is from RNAcentral.
GCCAGUGUGGAAUAGUGGUUUGAAGGUUGGACUACAACUCUGGAGAUCAAGGUUCGAUUCCCAGCUCGGCCA